This 317-nucleotide long non-coding RNA is filed under the name Elaeis guineensis (African oil palm). RNAcentral describes it as "long non-coding RNA (EGUI_LNC039943)". Lineage: Eukaryota; Viridiplantae; Streptophyta; Magnoliopsida; Arecales; Arecaceae. The record is from RNAcentral.
AUAGACUUAAGGACUUAACCUCUUAAAUCUCAUAGGACUACUCCCUUCUGCUAGAAUCGAUGGAUCCCAUCUUGAUCACAUCCCACUUCUACAGUAGACCAACUGUCGCCAACAUCCAUUAUAAGGGCUCAUUGAGAUCCAUGUUGAUGUGUCAGUCAAACUCUUGCAGCCUCACGAUGAGCAGUAGUAUCAUCUCAGAUCAAAGGAUCAGUCAUACAACUGCAGCAUCGAGAAAGUCACUAAUGAGUGAGCAGAUAUCCAUGUGACUUCUCAUAUUGGUCACGCUCAGUGCUAGUUAUUCUCUAACAACCACCUGC